RNAcentral lists this ribosomal RNA (434 nucleotides) under uncultured bacterium. RNAcentral describes it as "partial 16S ribosomal RNA". It matches the Rfam family "Bacterial small subunit ribosomal RNA", at positions 29 to 507 of the family's 1533-position model. The record is from RNAcentral.
AGCGAACGCUGGCGGCAGGCCUAACACAUGCAAGUCGAACGAACCUUUCGGGGUUAGUGGCGGACGGGUGAGUAACACGUGGGAACGUGCCUUUAGGUUCGGAAUAACUCAGGGAAACUUGUGCUAAUACCGAAUGUGCCCUUCGGGGGAAAGAUUUAUCGCCUUUAGAGCGGCCCGCGUCUGAUUAGCUAGUUGGUUGAGGUAAUGGCUCACCAAGGCGACGAUCAGUAGCUGGUCUGAGAGGAUGAUCAGCCACAUUGGGACUGAGACACGGCCCAAACUCCUACGGGAGGCAGCAGUGGGGAAUCUUGCGCAAUGUGCGAAAGCCUGACGCAGCCAUGCCGCGUGAAUGAUGAAGGUCUUAGGAUUGUAAAAUUCUUUCACCGGGGACGAUAAUGACGGUACCCGGAGAAGAAGCCCCGGCUAACUUCGUG